CGAUUACAAUUCAUGGGUUUUGUUCUUCUUUUUUUGCAUUUUCUGCAGAAUUUCAAGUUUGGUGCUUGUGUUGGAUUCUCUGACAUAAAAAUGCCAAUUAAAUACAGGCAAAGGCUAUAAAUACAAGAUGAUAGUACAGCCAACACCGAGAAGCUUUUAAUUUGAAUACAAAAGAAGUUUCUUACAAGAAAAUAGAUCUUUGAAAUUGUUAUUAUUUAAGAAGAUUUAUUUGAUAAAAAGAACAAACCAUAGACUCAAAAGCACCUCUCGCAGGUCUCUGGAUGUAGGUAAUUAAGAUUCUUUCAACUUUGUGUCAUGCAGAUGCUAGUAACUUCUCUCUAGCCUGUUUGAAGAAAACCAGCAUUUCGUCUUGAUUUGGAAGAUUAUCUUUGAUAAUGGGUGCCUCCUUGAAAGUUUUAGUCCAUGCAUGUAGCCGAGGAAACUUGUGGGGUUCAAGUAUUUUUAUGCCCACUACUUCCUCUAUAACUUGCAGCCAGUGAGCAAUUCCACUACAGGCAAUGUCCACCAUGCCGAUCUUGUCUCCUCCAAAAUAUUUCUUCUCCCCAAGUGCGUGUUCUUCAAUGGUUUUAAGCAUUUCCAAGCUGUCCUUCACUGCCUUCUCUUGUUCUUCCCCACUGGUUCGGAACACUACCCACGCUGAUGGACCCUGCAGUGGCAAACAUAUAAAGGAAGACGAGUUAAAAUUUAGGAAGAUAAAGAUUCGAAGUAAAAGAGGGGUGUCGAAUUUUGAACCCAAGAACUCGAUCAUAUAAGCACUGAGCACGUACCUUGUCUUCAAUAAAUUUAACCCAAAACCUGACUACAGCUCUUUCAUAAGGGUCACUGGGCAGCAGGGGAUUUUGCGGCCAUGUCUCGUCCAAAUACUCGAGGAUGAUCAUGGACUCGCAAAUCGGCUUGCCACCGUGCACGAGCACAGGGAUCUUCUUGUGAACUGGAUUAUACUGUAAAAGCAAAGGGCUUUUGUUGGAGAGAUCUUCUUCUACGUAUUCAUAUGGAAUGCCCUUAAGUUUUAGAGCCCAUAACACUCUGUAACUAUAGGGACUUGGCCAUGUUCCAUGUAGCUCAAUUUCAGCCAUCUUUG
Molecule: unclassified non-coding RNA, 1102 nt
Filed under: Hevea brasiliensis (rubber tree)
Lineage: Eukaryota; Viridiplantae; Streptophyta; Magnoliopsida; Malpighiales; Euphorbiaceae
Source: RNAcentral